AUCAUCACUCCUAUCCCUGAGAUUUCCUUUCUUUAUCCUGCUUUCCUUGUUGGCCUGCAACCUCCACACAAAGAAAGAGAGGGAAAAUUAUUUUCCUUUCUGAUGGAUUUUUUUUCUAAAAGUGACAAGACUCUUCAAGAGAGCUGAGGCUUUGGGUUCUUUGGCAGAUAAAUCGAAGGGGAGGAAAGAGACAGGAGGGAAGCAAAUGUCCUGGAGAAGCCCCCCUGCACCAUGACACCAGAGCAGGGGCAGCCAGGGCAUGGAGGGGCCUGGCUGCAGGCCACAGGUGGUCUCCCAGAGCCUCAGAGGGGAAGCAACCAAGGCUUUUGUGUCAAGGAGAAGCACCCACCACCUGUGCAGCACCUGGGAUCAAGAAGACACAGAGAGACCUAUUUGGAUCCGGUAACUGACGAGUGGAAGGGCCACAGAUACAGGUAGAGAAGAGUAGGUAUCAAUGUCCUGGGGCUGAUGAGCACUGCACAUCUAGGUCACAGUCACCCAGUGCCUCCUACCCCUAAAGCAGCCUCCUCCUACUGAACACCCAGAAAGAAGAGAAGAGAAGAGGAAUGGGGGAAAAAAAAUCCCUGACUCAGUUUUUACCCAAAGGGCAUGGAGAAAAAUCUGGUAGUGACUGAAUGUAAACAAGGGUUUAGAAGCUAUGUUAAGUUCAAUCACAGAGGGAGCUCCUGUCGUGGCUCAGUGGUAACAAACCCAACUAGUAUCCAUGAGGAUGCAGGUUCGAUCCCUGGCCUCGCUCAGUGUGUUAAGGUUUCGGCAUUGCUGUGAGCUGUGGUGCAGGUUGCAGACAAGGCUCAGAUCUGGCUUUGCUGUGGUGUAGGCCAGCAGCUGCAGCUCCAAUUCGACACCUAGCCUGGGAACCUCCAUAUGCCGAGGGUACAGCCCUAAAAAAACAAACAAAAAAAAAGUUUGAUCACAGAAAAGUAAAGUAAGUUGUUUGUUUGCAUAAGUCUGCAACACAUACACCUUCCUCCCCUCCUGGGGUUACUCUAGCUUUGGCACAUGCCAGGUUCUGGGUGGGGUAGAGAUGGGGGAUAGAGAACCAUUCUUGGUUCCACUCAGCUCUAUCUCUUGAAGGAGUCCAGGCCUUCUGAACAUGAUGUGGUCAUAUCUUGGAACUGAUUGGCAAGAAACACAGGACCGCAAAUGUCAUAUUGGCCUUGACAAGUGAUGACUAUAGGCGGGUCAUCUGGAAGGUCCAGGACUCUUAAUUCUGGGAAAUGUUCUGCUUUUCCAAGAAGAAAAAAAAUGCUGAAGCAAAUGAAAAUGAAGUAAAACACAACCAAAGGAAUCAACAUGUUUCCAUCCACCUUCACUGCUUUAGCUUCUGGGUUGCUUUUUUUGUUUUGUUUUUGUUUUUUGUUUUUUGUUUGAUUGUUCAUUUGUUUUUUUGUUGUUGUUUUUUUUUGUUUGUUUGUUUGUUUUUUGGAAGCUCAGACCCAGAGAAUGUUGAGAGCCCACUAAGGGAGUUUUCCUAAAGGAUCAGCAUUCUUGGGUCAUCAGGGCUGGCCCCAGAUCCCCCAGUGGUCAUUGGAGGGCCCCUCCUGUGCCCUCCAGCUUCACGUUAUUCUAGAAACAUCUCCUCUGGUUAAGGAUGAGUGGAUAGACUGCCUUCACCCUGCUUCUUGCUUUUGCAGCAUCUUUUAUGGGACUCCACAAGGCUGGAGCUGAUGAUCCACAUUCUUCCAGGGUGUUUGCUGCUUGGUGCCCUCCACUUCCAAGGACAGACACACUGCCUAUUGUGAACUGGAGGUAGGGGUCUUAACACAGGACCUGAGCAGCCUCAGUGUGCUCCAGGGAGCCUCUCACGUGGCACCAGCCUUCCAAUGUGGUGGGUAACUUGCUGCGUGUUUUCUCACCCCUGUGCCUUCAGCUACAUCGUCUCCUCUGCCUAGAGUGCCUGUCACCCCUACCCCAGUCCCUGCCUCCCCCAGUAGGAUGUCCUGAGCCCUCCUGACCACCAGGCUCUGUGGCAUGGAGACGCCUGAGCACAGGAAGCGUUAAUGGUGAACUCUGAGAAACAGCAUGAGCUGAAGAUCCAUCUGUUUAUUGAACACAGGGCUGUGAGUCAGGGAGUGGCUUGGGCACAGACCAGGCAUGUGAACUUGAUGGAUCUUCCAACUUCUUUUGGCCUCUUCUACUUCUCCCAGGAGCUGCUGGGUCUGGAUGGUUAAGUCCCAUCUACCAGUUAGAUUGCCACUGUGGUCCUGGACUUGCUUCCACUCAUGUGGCUGGCCAUGUACAAUUUUCCAUAGGGCUGCCAGAGUGCCCUCACAACACGGCAGCUGGCUUCCCCCAGGGUGAAUGACCAAGAGAGAUGGACAGGAGACACCACAUCUUUAUAACCUGGAUUCGGAAAUGACUGGGCCUUAUUCUGUCAGCCACACCCACCAACCCAACACGUGGCAGGAGGUACCGCACAAGAGAGUGAAUCUUCUGAGGUGGGGACCACUGACUGCCGUCUUGGAGGCUGGCUGUCACAGAGUGCCAGUCUAAUUUUAAUCAGGCUCACCUGAAUUAUCAAGAAGUAAGGAUGUCUUAGGAGUGCCUUCCCUUGGGUUCUACAUCCUGCCUGCUUUGUUGCUGGGAAUGGAUGGGCCCUAUGGAGCUGGAUGCUAGAGAAAAUUCUCACAUAAGGUGGAACAAUGCUGGGUGCAGAGGUCACAGAGGAACAGGAGCCUAAGGGCUUGGAAUGUCUAAUGACACAUCCAAUGUAGCAGGACUUAAGUGUGAGGCUGAGCAAAGGAGGAUAUGACCUUUUUGAAGGAGGCAGUAAGUCCUUCCUAGUUGCCAUUAAAAUAAGUGUGUGAAGACUAAUACCUUGAAUAAUACUAGUGUGCUUUCGUUUUUCACUCCUUCUUUGUGACUUUCCCUUACUUAGCCCUAGUUUCCAUCAUUUUUGUGAGUGGUAGCUGGGAUGAGGGAAAGAGGAGAAACUGAAAUGAAGAGAGGAUGGAGAUUUAGCUUCAGAUGUGCAAACCAGCUCUGAAACAACAGGUUUGAAAGCCAAGUUUUCACCAGUGAGAUUGGGCCAUUGAGAGAAGGUUUUCCUAAAUCCAGGUAGGUUUCUUUUAAAUAUAACAAUGUUGGCGAAUGAACACGGAGUUUUUACUACACAUCUCAGAAUAGGGAAGAAUGGGCAGCAUGCCCCACAAGGAGCUCUCAACCCCCCAGGAAAGGGAAUAGCCCUUCCUGGGCUGGGAUGGUUAUAGAUAUCUUCAGCCAACAAGACCAGAUGAGGAUACUACACUCAAGGUGCAGGGUGAGAUUUCAGAAAUAGCAGAUGAUCCAAGGAAAGAUCCACGAGCUUAUGCUCCACUUUUGGCUUGAAAUUCCAGGCAGAAUUGCAGGGUGACCUAGACCCACAUGGGUGGCUUGCAGUCGGAGGGACAUGCUGGUAUGGCACGUUUAGCUGGAGAGGGAGCCUGAGAUCGCGUAGACAAGGUUCCCUGGGACUGGUGUAUGGCCUGCAUGAGAUCCAGAAUGUUCUGUGUAGGCUGGGAGUGGUGAACAGUGGUGCUAAGAAUGUGGGGGGAGAGGAAGGCGAUAGCCUGGUAGGAGACAGGACACACAGCCAGAGGCCAUGACAGGGUCCUGGUCAGUUGCAGCCCAGGGCCAGUGACAGAACUGGCCUCCAGAGAUCAAAGCUGACCCCCUAUGCCUCCCAAACUGUCCAGCUUGAGCCUUGAAGAAGGGAAUGGACAAAGAGGGCUUACUCUGCUGCCAUGAGGGAUGGAAACAACUUCCUGACCAUUCUUUGUGGGGACAGAAAGACUUUUGAGAAGACAGGAACCUGAGAGGGACUUCCUUUCCUUUUUUAUGGCGGAAUCUGCAGCACUUGGAAGUUCAUCCUCCAGGGAUUGAACCUGAGCCACAUCUGCAACCUACACCAGAUCCUUUUAACCCACUGCACCUAGCCAGGGAUCAAAUCAAUCUUCCGCAGUGACUCAAGCCACUGCAGUCAAAUUCUUAACCCACUGCGCCAUAGUGGGGACUCCAGGAGGGACUUUCAACUUAGUAAAAUCCUAAAUUGCCUGAAUAAUUACACAAAAGAGAUGAAGUCUCCAAAUGGGAGUUUACUUUGAAGCAGUAAGAUUAGUUUCUUUUAUUUGUUCAUUGUUUUGUUUUCUGCUUUCAGUAGAAUUAGAGCCUCGGGAGGCAGCUGAGUUUGAUUAGGUGGAAUUUAGCAUUUCUGCCAUUGGGAUCACAUGGGUGCAUUUUAAACUCAGGAAACCAUCAAAAGGAUGUGAUUUGAGGUGGGAGGGAGAACAAAGGUAGCACAAUGAGGAGCCACUGUUGUACUUUUUAAAAUCAUCCUUUGAAGGGUCUAGAAUAUAUCAAGAAUGCCUACAAAUCAGCAGCAACAACAAAAAUAUGAACAACUCUGGCUUUCUAGGUGGACAAUGAGUUCAACAGGCAUCUCAUAACAAAGAUACAGGAAUGGCCAAUAAGCCCAAGAAAAAGUGCUCAACAGUAUUAAUCAUUAGGAAAUGCAAAUGAAACAACAAUGAGCUGCCACGUCACACCCACCAGACUGAAUCAAGUCAAAUACAAUGGACGCUGGACCAACUGAAGCCAGUCCAAUGCAUGGAGGAUGUGCAGCACCAAGCAAACACCCCCACCCCGACCCAGCAGGCCCAUGCCUUGUGCCAACCCCAAGGAAAUGAAAACCUCUGUCCACACAGAGGCUCGAAUCUGAAUGCUUACAGUAGUCAUAUUCCUAAGAAUCAACCAAACAGAUAAAUAAAACACAGCAUAUCCAUUUAAUGGACUGUUACUCAGCAAUUAAAAAGGACCACUUAACAGUUAAACCCACAGCACAGAUGAAUCUCCAAAAACUGAUGCUGAGUGAGAGGAGUCAGACAUAGAAGAGAAUCUACCAUUCAACUCCACGUACAUGAAUUUCUAGAACAGGCAAAACUAAUCUUUGUGGAGAGAAGUCUAAAACUGGUCAGGGGUAGAAGGGUGCUUCCUGCGUGAUAGAAUGUUCUGUAUUUUGUUUGUGACAACCAUGGUGAUUGUUGCGUGGAUAUAAAUGAUUGGACCUCAU
RNAcentral lists this long non-coding RNA (5068 nucleotides) under Sus scrofa (pig). Its description in RNAcentral is "lncRNA (ENSSSCG00000061700.1)". Lineage: Eukaryota; Metazoa; Chordata; Mammalia; Artiodactyla; Suidae. The record is from RNAcentral.